UACAGAGGUCUCAAGCGUUGUUCGGAUUCAUUGGGCGUAAAGGGUGUGUAGGUGGCGCCGUAAGUCGGGUGUGAAAUUUCGGAGCUUAACUCCGAAACUGCAUUCGAUACUGCGGUGCUUGAGGACUGGAGAGGAGACUGGAAUUUACGGUGUAGCAGUGAAAUGCGUAGAUAUCAGGAGGAACACCUGUGGUGUAGACGGCUCUCUGGACCGCAACUGACGCUGAGACACGAAAGCGUGGGUAGCAAACAGG
Molecule: ribosomal RNA, 253 nt
Filed under: uncultured bacterium
Lineage: Bacteria
Description: partial 16S ribosomal RNA
Rfam family: Bacterial small subunit ribosomal RNA
Source: RNAcentral